GUUUGCUAGAGCUCACUCCAACCCAAUGUGAACCAUACCAAACUGUUGCCUCGGCGGGGUCACGCCCCGGGUGCGUCGCAGCCCCGGAACCAGGCGCCCGCCGGAGGGACCAACCAAACUCUUUACUGUAGUCCCCUCGCGGACGUUAUUUCUUACAGCUCUGAGCAAAAAAUUCAAAAUGAAUCAAAACUUUCAACAACGGAUCUCUUGGUUCUGGCAUCGAUGAAGAACGCAGCGAAAUGCGAUAAGUAAUGUGAAUUGCAGAAUUCAGUGAAUCAUCGAAUCUUUGAACGCACAUUGCGCCCGCCAGUAUUCUGGCGGGCAUGCCUGUCCGAGCGUCAUUUCAACCCUCGAACCCCUCCGGGGGGUCGGCGUUGGGGAUCGGGAACCCCUCAGACGGGAUCCCGGCCCCGAAAUACAGUGGCGGUCUCGCCGCAGCCUCUCCUGCGCAGUAGUUUGCACAACUCGCACCGGGAGCGCGGCGCGUCCACGUCCGUAAAACACCCAACUUUCUGAAAUGUUGACCUCGGAUCAGGUAGGAAUACCCGCUGAACUUAAGCAUAUCAAUAAAGCGGAGGAA
RNAcentral lists this ribosomal RNA (580 nucleotides) under Trichoderma erinaceum. Its description in RNAcentral is "eukaryotic LSU rRNA". The stretch from base 188 to 341 matches the Rfam family "5.8S ribosomal RNA". The record is from RNAcentral. Lineage: Eukaryota; Fungi; Ascomycota; Sordariomycetes; Hypocreales; Hypocreaceae.